Molecule: long non-coding RNA, 2082 nt
Filed under: Homo sapiens (human)
Lineage: Eukaryota; Metazoa; Chordata; Mammalia; Primates; Hominidae
Description: HSALNT0351213
Source: RNAcentral
GCGCUCCGAAGUGCGGCUGCCACAUUUGGAGAGAGCGGGCAGCGGCUAGCUCUGCGGGUUUGGGGGUGCUUCUCCUCUGCCCCAUCUCCGUGGAGUUUGGUACUUAAAAGCCCAGUGUGUCAACCGCUCAGACUUGAAGGUGGUUAGGUAAAGAGUUAAGAAGCGAGGCGGCUUACACCCAUAACUUUAUCCUCCCCCUCACCUGUAUUUUUCUCCCCUCACACCCCUCCCUCUUCAAACGGCCUUUCAAAGAUGACUUAGGGGUUCCACGAAUGUCGCUGCACGGUUUUGCUUCUCCUCGGGUGCCAUUUCGAGGAGCCUAGAAACUUCCUGCCUUUCUGGUUGACCCUCCGCAGGGCUUUCUCUGACACCGCCAUGGUGGCAACAUGGGCCAAGUGGUACAGGGACCAGCCUAGCGGGUGGGAGGCCUCGCCUGUGGGCUGAGGAGGCACGACCCUGAUCCCCGGCGCGCACAGUAGAAGCGGGACCUGUGCUAAGCCACGGGAAGGGGGGCGCGCCGCGGGCGCGGGGGGCGCGUGGGGCACGUGUUCACCCCAGCACUGGAAAGAGACUUGCGGUGGGCGCCGGAGUCAAGUCUCCUGAUGUUCAUGCGGAGGGGAGAGGAUUUGUAGCCAUCUUUGCUCUGGGUGGAGAUUUCAUAUCCGCAGUCACACGAGGUCUGCAGGACACACCAAAGAACUCCUCCAAGUCACACAAGGGAGAAAAUUAACUUCAUUGGCUUCUAUCAGGAAAGCUAUUUUUUUUUUCCUCUUCUUUCCUGCAAGUUUCCCAAACCCCAUGACUCUGAUUUCCAGGUCAGAGACUAAGGUUUUAUUUUUCUUACUCUGUAUACUUUAUAUGUGGAGAGUCCCUGAAGGAACACUGUGAUGGGCUGAUUACUGUGAGCCAGUUGUGGGCCAGACCUGGCCUCAGGUGCUGCAAAGGGAAUUCAGUCACCCCUGUGCAGUGAUCUGUGAGCCCCAAGUCAGAUCCAACUUUUUCCUGAUAGACAGCACCCUCCUCCUCCCUACCAAGAAAUAGCAGGGUUGGAGGUAGUGACCCAAUAUUCAAGAGGUUUGAAAUUCUACAUGAGAUAUUUCUGAGUUAACUCCUAAAUAGCAGUUUCCUUAAUCAUGUGGAAAAUAAGAACACUUACUAAAGAGACCAUUGGUUUAAGAGAAAUGGAAACUUAUGUCCACGUAAAAACCUGUAAAUGAAUGUUCACAGCAGCCUUUUCAUAAUAGCCAAAAAGGGAAAGCAAUCCACACGUCCAUCAACCAAUGAAUGGAUAAACUUAACGUGGGAUAUACGUGUAAUGGAAUGCUAUUUGGUGAAGAAAGAAAUGAAAUAUUAAUACAUGCGUUAACAAGGAUGGACCUUAAAAUAUCAUGCUAAGUAAGAGAAGCCUGUCACAAAAGAAUAUGUAUUGUACCAUUCUACUUAUAUGAAAUUCCUAGAAUAGGCAAUUCUAUAGGGACAGAAACUAGACUAGUGAUUGGCUAGAGCUUGGGGAGAGUUUGGGGAGCCUGGAGGAUGACAGCAAAGUGGUGCAGAGUUUCUUUUUAGGUUGAUUAAAUGUUGUAAAAUUAAUUGUAGUGAUGGUUGUGCAACUUUGUGAUUUUGUUAAAAACCAUUGCAUUUUGCCCUUUAAAUGGAUGAAUUGCACAAUGUGUGAAUUAGACAUAAGUUUAUUUACAUAAUUAAUAUCUAUUUAUUGAUAUAUAACUCAUAUAUCAAUAAAUAUAUACUAUAUAAAAUAAUUUUAUAUUUAUAUAAAAUGUGAAUUAUAUAUAAAUACAUAAAUAAAACUGCUAAAAACUAAAAAAUAUAUACUUUAAAAAAAGGCUGUUCGUUUCUUUCACAUUUUCUGAGCACAAUCACUUUGGGAUAAAUGUGUCCAGGCUUAAAAAGCCAGAUUUUAUGGGCUAACUAAAAUGGAAAUGUGAAAAACUGUGUUUUUUUCCAUAGGAGGAGAGAGUCUGAUUUGCAGGUACGUGCAUACCCACAGCAGUCAUACUUGUAAUUCUUGGAAACUUUGCUGAAAGUUUUUUCCUAGCCUGAAAUCAUUAAAAUAUGUUGAAA